GACGAACGCUGGCGGCGUGCUUAACACAUGCAAGUCGAACGGAAGGGCCCUGCUUUUGUGGGGUUCUCGAGUGGCGAACGGGUGAGUAACACGCGAGUAACCUGCCCUUGACUUUGGGAUAACUUCAGGAAACUGGGGCUAAUACCGGAUAUGAGCUCCUGCUGCAUGGUGGGGGUUGGAAAGUUUCGGCGUUUGGGGAUGGACUUGCGGCUUAUCAGCUUGUUGGUGGGGUAGUGGCUUACGAAGGCUUUGACGGGUAGCCGGCCUGAGAGGGUGGACGGGCACAUUGGGCCUGAGGUACGGACCAGACUCCUACGGGAGGCAGUAGUGGGGAAUAUUGCACAGUGGGGGGAAGCCUGAGGCAGCAACGCCGGGUGCGGGAUGACGGCCUUCGGGUUAUAAACCGCUUUCGACUGUGACGAAGCGGGAGUGACGGUAAUGGGUAAAGAAGCACCGGCUAACUACGUG
Molecule: ribosomal RNA, 468 nt
Filed under: uncultured bacterium
Lineage: Bacteria
Description: partial 16S ribosomal RNA
Rfam family: Bacterial small subunit ribosomal RNA
Source: RNAcentral